UAGUGGCGAACGGGUGAGUAACACGUGGGCAAUCUGCCCUGCACUCUGGGACAAGCCCUGGAAACGGGGUCUAAUACCGGAUAACACUGUCCCCCUCCUGGGGGACGGUUGAAAGCUCCGGCGGUGCAGGAUGAGCCCGCGGCCUAUCAGCUUGUUGGUGGGGUAAUGGCCUACCAAGGCGACGACGGGUAGCCGGCCUGAGAGGGCGACCGGCCACACUGGGACUGAGACACGGCCCAGACUCCUACGGGAGGCAGCAGUGGGGAAUAUUGCACAAUGGGCGAAAGCCUGAUGCAGCGACGCCGCGUGAGGGAUGACGGCCUUCGGGUUGUAAACCUCUUUCAGCAGGGAAGAAGCGAAAGUGACGGUACCUGCAGAAGAAGCGCCGGCUAACUACGUGCCAGCAGCCGGGGUAAUACGUAGGGCGCAAGCGUUGUCCGGAAUUAUUGGGCGUAAAGAGCUCGUAGGCGGUCUGUCACG
Molecule: ribosomal RNA, 480 nt
Filed under: Streptomyces sp. 313F06
Lineage: Bacteria; Bacillati; Actinomycetota; Actinomycetes; Kitasatosporales; Streptomycetaceae
Description: bacterial SSU rRNA
Rfam family: Bacterial small subunit ribosomal RNA
Source: RNAcentral